GCCGGAGGCUCGGGCGCGGGGGCCUGGAGCGGUUGUUAGCAGCUGCAGCGGCGGCAGCGGGAGCCCUCCCGGGUCCUGUUUUCUCGGAGAAUUCUGCAGCCCGCGACUCAAGGCAAUUCGGUUCCACCCGAAACCUCAGCUCCAAAUGCCUUGUUUUAGAAGCUGGGGCUUUGGAGGUUCUGAGGACCGUUCCUGGGGAGGCGGGUGACAGUCUGUGAGGUUCUCGCGGCCCCUCUGUUUCCUGCACAGUUACCGAGGGAGAGAGUGCUAGAAAUGGCUUUGCUGCCGAAUGCAUUAUCUUGCCAUUUUCGUAUCCCGAUACAGCACGCACGAUCGCCUGAUCGAUCGGAAAUAGGAGGGAAAGGUAGAGUGGAAAUUGAUUUCUUGCAGAGACUCAGGCGCCGAAUGAUAGAGGGAAUAAACAUUUGCCCUGGAUAAAAAUGUUCUUGGCUGUGUUCCAGCCCUAAUAAGGACCUAGAGCAGAAGUUUUUCUUCAGUGAUCUAAUUUUACCCAAAAGCUCAUUUCUGUGUUAUGUCUCUGUUUUACGCAGGCUGACAAAUGUUGGUAGGGGGAUGGAUACCCCGAAUUAAAUUUGUUACAAACUCAACCUUAACAGUUGUGAUGUAUUAGACAGCAUAUUUUUCGUGUAAGAUUUAAUAUGCUGCUAAACUUACUUACCUAAAUUGUGAUUCAAAGAAAUACAAUUGUUUCUUGAGGACCCAACUUGACUUAAGUUAGAAAGUAUAAUAUUAAAAUUUUUAUUUUAUAUGUAAAAUAAAUGCAAGAUUGAUGUUCUUUUAAAUAUUUGGAGAAUAAAAAGUACAGGAUUAAAAAUAUUAAUUCUGUGACCCAUGUUUCCUUAACUUUAACAUAGUUAAUAGCACUUAAAGUUUAUUAAACUAGCUAAGUCUUUGAGCAUUAUACUAAAUCAUAUGAUUAAGUGUGAUGAACCUCAAAAUAGAGCCAUAGGCUUUUACAUCUGUUAGCUAGCUUGUACCUGGUUUGUACUUAGAUCUGUCUCAAAAGUUAUACAUUAUAAGUUUAUACUCAGCAUGUCUUUUCCUGGAUCAUCUCAAUGCACAUCUACAAUGGGUAUCUAAGCACAUUUUAUAUUACUGGUAAUGUUUUUAUUUGCUACCCUGGCUCCUUCUUUUUAGUGGUAUAGGUACCACAUGAUAUAUUUGUUAACUAUUAAUCCACAAAAAUGUCUAAUCUAAAAGCAAUAUUCAAGGUAUAUUGUAUUGGGGAAAUUGUGAGUCAGUUUGCUUUGUCAAUAAAAAUGUCAAUAUGCUUCA
Long non-coding RNA from Felis catus (domestic cat), 1296 nucleotides. RefSeq lists it as uncharacterized. Lineage: Eukaryota; Metazoa; Chordata; Mammalia; Carnivora; Felidae. The record is from RefSeq and is a predicted model, not a curated record. The transcript has 3 exons.